RNAcentral lists this ribosomal RNA (253 nucleotides) under uncultured bacterium. RNAcentral's name for it is "partial 16S ribosomal RNA". It matches the Rfam family "Bacterial small subunit ribosomal RNA", at positions 524 to 776 of the family's 1533-position model. The record is from RNAcentral.
UACAGAGGGUGCGAGCGUUAAUCGAAGUUACUGGGCGUAAAGGGCGCGUAGGCGGUUGAGUGAGUGUGAUGUGAAAGCCCUGGGCUUAACCUAGGAAGUGCAUCGCAAACGACUCAACUGGAGUAUAAGAGAGGGUGGCGGAAUUUCCGGUGUAGCGGUGAAAUGCGUAGAGAUCGGAAGGAACGUCAAUGGCGAAGGCAGCCACCUGGCUUAAUACCGACGCUGAGGCGCGAAAGCGUGGGGAGCGAACAGG